RNAcentral lists this long non-coding RNA (643 nucleotides) under Malus domestica (apple). Its description in RNAcentral is "long non-coding RNA (MDOM_LNC008510)". The record is from RNAcentral. Lineage: Eukaryota; Viridiplantae; Streptophyta; Magnoliopsida; Rosales; Rosaceae.
GUAACGUAAAGGAAGCGUAAAUGUAUUAGAUUAUGAAUCUAAUCCAUCAUCGGAUGUUUCUUCAUUAUGAAUAAAGAGAUAAUCAUAUAUCUCUUUGUUAUGACUAAAGAGAUAUUUGGAUGGAAACAUUAAAAGUAAUGACUUUAGUAUGUUCCAUUAUGAAUGCAAAAUAUAUAUUGCCAUAUAGAAGCUUACAACAUUGUUGUUUGGAUGGGAAAGUUCAUUUAUGAACUCUCUAUUCGGUUCCAACCAGAAAGUGUCUCUAGUGUACCGACACUACGACACUAAUGGGGCGAUAGCUCAAGCCAGGGAAUCAAGGUCUCAUCAAGAUCCGAACUCAAAUGAGAGACUGAACCACAUGAUUAAGAAUCAUGUAUAAUGGUGUCGUCGUUAUUCUCAAGGUUGCUUCUAUGGAUAACAUAUAAAUAUCCAUUGUCUAGGCCUACUAUUCAGCCAUUUAUGAAAUGACUACAGAAGAGGUAUCAUCACUGAUGACCAAGCUGAUUGGCUCUAGUGCAAGUGGGAGAUUGUUGGAAAUGUGCCCUAAAACCAAUCAUAUGAUGAUACUUUACGGACAGUUCACAAGUUAAACUAAUGUAGUUUAAAUAUAAAGGGCAAAGAUUAUUGUUUUAAGCCGUCUCAU